RNAcentral lists this transfer RNA (88 nucleotides) under Stygiomarasmius scandens. RNAcentral's name for it is "Marasmiellus scandens tRNA-Ser". It matches the Rfam family "tRNA". Rfam says of the family: Transfer RNA (tRNA) molecules are approximately 80 nucleotides in length. Their secondary structure includes four short double-helical elements and three loops (D, anti-codon, and T loops). Lineage: Eukaryota; Fungi; Basidiomycota; Agaricomycetes; Agaricales; Campanellaceae. The record is from RNAcentral.
GGAAACUUGUUAGAGUGGUUUAAUAUAAUCGUCUUGAAAACGAUUGCUGGAUGACCUUCAGCCGUGGGUUCGAAUCCCACAGUUUCCG